UACGGAGGGGGCUAGCGUUGUUCGGAAUUACUGGGCGUAAAGCGCACGUAGGCGGAUCAGUCAGUUAGGGGUGAAAUCCCAGGGCUCAACCCUGGAACUGCCUUUAAUACUGCUGGUCUGGAGGUCGAGAGAGGUGAGUGGAAUUCCGAGUGUAGAGGUGAAAUUCGUAGAUAUUCGGAGGAACACCAGUGGCGAAGGCGGCUCACUGGCUCGAUACUGACGCUGAGGUGCGAAAGCGUGGGGAGCAAACAGG
RNAcentral lists this ribosomal RNA (253 nucleotides) under uncultured bacterium. RNAcentral describes it as "partial 16S ribosomal RNA". It matches the Rfam family "Bacterial small subunit ribosomal RNA", at positions 524 to 776 of the family's 1533-position model. The record is from RNAcentral.